AGCGGCGGACGGGUGAGUAAUGCCUGGGAAUAUGCCCUGAUGUGGGGGAUAACUAUUGGAAACGAUAGCUAAUACCGCAUAAUCUCUUCGGAGCAAAGAGGGGGACCUUCGGGCCUCUCGCGUCAGGAUUAGCCCAGGUGGGAUUAGCUUGUUGGUGAGGUAAUGGCUCACCAAGGCAACGAUCCCUAGCUGGUCUGAGAGGAUGAUCAGCCACACUGGAACUGAGACACGGUCCAGACUCCUACGGGAGGCAGCAGUGGGGAAUAUUGCACAAUGGGGGAAACCCUGAUGCAGCCAUGCCGCGUGUGUGAAGAAGGCCUUCGGGUUGUAAAGCACUUUCAGUAGGGAGGAAGGUAGUGUAGUUAACACCUGCAUUAUUUGGCGUUACCUACAGAAGAAGCACCGGCUAACUCCGUGCCAGCAGCCGCGGUAAUACGGAGGGUGCGAGCGUUAAUCGGAAUUACUGGGCGUAAAGCGCAUGCAGGCGGCCUGUUAAGUCAGAUGUGAAAGCCCGGGGCUUAACCUCGGAAUUGCAUUUGAAACUGGCAGG
Molecule: ribosomal RNA, 550 nt
Filed under: uncultured bacterium
Lineage: Bacteria
Description: bacterial SSU rRNA
Rfam family: Bacterial small subunit ribosomal RNA
Source: RNAcentral